This 492-nucleotide ribosomal RNA is filed under the name uncultured bacterium. RNAcentral describes it as "partial 16S ribosomal RNA". It matches the Rfam family "Bacterial small subunit ribosomal RNA", at positions 29 to 507 of the family's 1533-position model. The record is from RNAcentral.
AGUGAACGCUGGCGGUAGGCCUAACACAUGCAAGUCGAACGGCAGCACAGUAAGAGCUUGCUCUUACGGGUGGCGAGUGGCGGACGGGUGAGGAAUACAUCGGAAUCUACUUUUUCGUGGGGGAUAACGUAGGGAAACUUACGCUAAUACCGCAUACGACCUACGGGUGAAAGCAGGGGAUCUUCGGACCUUGCGCGAUUGAAUGAGCCGAUGUCGGAUUAGCCAGUUGGCGGGGUAAAGGCCCACCAAGGCGACGAUCCAUAGCUGGUCUGAGAGGAUGAUCAGCCACACUGGAACUGAGACACGGUCCAGACUCCUACGGGAGGCAGCAGUGGGGAAUAUUGGACAAUGGGCGCAAGCCUGAUCCAGCCAUACCGCGUGGGUGAAGAAGGCCUUCGGGUUGUAAAGCCCUUUUGUUGGGAAAGAAAAGCAGCAGGUUAAUACCCCGCUGUUCUGACGGUACCCAAAGAAUAAGCACCGGCUAACUUCGUG